RNAcentral lists this non-coding RNA (29 nucleotides) under Cricetulus griseus (Chinese hamster). Lineage: Eukaryota; Metazoa; Chordata; Mammalia; Rodentia; Cricetidae. The record is from RNAcentral.
AAACGGAAAAAUGUAGCUAAACCAGGGGU